CGAAACAACAAAAGCAGACAAAGCAGUCACUGCAACAGUAAAAACACCAGUAGCUUUCACGUUCACACCAGCAGAUUUACCAGUACUCUUCUCCGCCGCAGUCGACGGCGCAUCAGCCGGAGCACCAUCUGGACUCUCACCAGCCGGAGCCGGAGGCGAGGCUGGCAAUGGAGUAGGUGCAUCCGCCGGUGAAGGAGCAGAAGCAGGUGUCGGUGAAGGUGCACCAGCAGGCUCCGGCGCCGGAGAAGGUGAAGUAGCAAACAGCUCCGAUGGAAGAAGCACACUAUCAACAGAGUAAAUAGCAAGAGGAGUAGAAUCCAAAAUCGAAUCAGCAAUUCUCGAAGAAUCAACUCCGGUAUGAAGUGUAACAGAAUCACCGGCAGUGGUAACAGUGUAAUCAAAUUUCCCGGCACCGUUGGUAGCUAAACUAGAAAUAGGAUCUUUCGUAGUUUUCAAAGAUCCAAUGGGAAGAUAUUUAGCAGCAGCAUGAUACUGUAAAAGUGAAACCAAUUCAGCAUUUGAAAGCUUGGUUAAAUCUGGAACGCCUUUCGCUUUAAAAGCUUCAUCGUUCGGAGCAAAAAUCGUUAAACCUUUAUCAGCCGUUGAUUGAAAUGUUUUGAUUAAGCCGUUGGAAGAUAUAAGGGAUGCAAAUGUUUUGCAACCGGCUUUUUCUAUUAAAGCGGUAAGGUUAACGGAGGAGGAAGGUGGUGGAGCGGUUAGGAUACCGGGAGCGAUGAUCGGAGCUGUGAUUUCGAGAACGGAGAUAUUGUAAGGGAUUUGUUUAACGGAUUUGGAGUAAGAUGAGUCGAGUUUAGAGCCGGGAGCAGCGGAGCCGAAGCCGACUUUACCGCCUUUCAAGUCGGUGAUGUUAACGGAUCCGAUGUUGUUGACGGCGUUGCCGGUGGUUUGGAAGAGGGUAGUGGAGAGAGUGGUGCCAUUGGUGAGUUGGUGAAGUUUAGUGUUGUCGAAGUAGUCGAGGAGGAUUAAGAGGGAGAGGAUUUUUUUGACGACGGAGAGAGGGUGGGAGGAGGUGAUGGAAGAGAAUGCGGCGUUGUUGAGGACUAAGACGGUGAUGGUUUGGCGGGAGUUGAUUUCGUCGGCGAGUUUGGUUUGGGAAAGGAAGUUGUUGUAUUGGGAGUAGUCAGGGUUGGAGGAGAGGAUUUCGGUGAUGUUGUGGGCGGAGAUUGUGGUGGCGAUGGAGAGGAUGAGGAGGAGGAGGGUGAGAGAGUGGUUACCCAUUUUGGAGAGAGAGAGAGAGAGAGAGAUGGUUUGAGUGUGGAAAGUGAAGUGGAAGAGUGGGAGUUAAAGGCGGUGGUGUCUGUUCUGUUUGUAUGUAGUAUACUAUGUGAGUGUGUGCGUGUCUGUGGGGUUUGCUUCUUUAACCAUGGUUAUGGUUUGUUAGUUACGGGUUGGAAUAUGAAGUGUAAGAGCAUAUCUGCACUUUAUUAAAAAAAAAAAAAACAGAAGGAUUAUACUUUAAUGGAGAAUGCUAACCAACACUCU
Molecule: long non-coding RNA, 1503 nt
Filed under: Medicago truncatula (barrel medic)
Lineage: Eukaryota; Viridiplantae; Streptophyta; Magnoliopsida; Fabales; Fabaceae
Description: lncRNA gene41324
Source: RNAcentral